AAGUGGAUCCUCGAUGAACUGCAGCUUUUAACACUUCCCCAUUGGACAAUAUUUUUAGACCGGAGGUUGCCGCUUGGUACUCCCACAAUGCCUUUCUUAAAGAAGCAUGUGUUUCGUAGUGCUCCAAAAGGACCUCCUGUGUUAGGAGUGGAGAAACAUUGUCGACAUCAUAUAAUACUAUCAGAUUCAACAGAGAUCCUCCAGCACACAGUCCAUACAGCAGGAACAGCCAUCCACACAAUCAGCAGAGAGCAGCAGUUUGAAAUCGAGCAUGACAGCCUGCUGUGUGACAGUGUCGCCUUGCAGACAUGGCCGAACACAAAUCAUCCAACAUGCUGUUUUCUUUGAUCCUUCCUUCAGCACAUUACUGCGAGCCUCUGUGUGCAUAUUAGCUGCUUUCUCACUCACCACACCGUCACUUUCCAUCCUCCGACGCUGGCUUCUUCUCCGCUGUUAAUAUUCUCUCUCUCGCCGCAUAACUCAGGGGAUCAAUCACCGGUUGCCAUGGCAAUAAUACCCCCACCCAUGCAGGUGUAUGUGUGAGCAUGACUCUUCCUAUCUGUGUGUAUGUUUGUGUGUUUGAGCUGUAUCUGCUUUUCAGCACCAGUCAGAGCAGUGAGGCCUCCGUUGGUGACGCCGCUCCCCUGCACUGCCCCUGCAUGCGGAGCGGCUUUGACAGCUGUCUGCUCGAGAUGCUCUCACCUGCCACACUCGGCUUCCUCUCGGCUCCGUGCAGAAUAAUGACUGAACUCAAAGGAGAAGAGGAUACAUACACGUCGCUGCCAGGCUUGUUUUGUUUCUUAUAGGUUAAGAAACACUUUUUAUGAAGGCUACUUAUUGAAACACCUUUCAAAUGUUUGAAAUAGCUUGAGUGAAAGAAGCUCUGGGGUCAAAGAACCAUCAUGUUCAAUAUUUAUGUCCUGAUGGUGAAUAGGCAAACUUGAGGUUGAGGAUAUAAACAAAGAGCCAGUGUUCAUACAGCUUUGUUAUGCAACCGUAUGUACACACAACAGUCAUAAAGUAAAAAAGUUUUCAACUGUCA
Molecule: long non-coding RNA, 1042 nt
Organism: Notolabrus celidotus (New Zealand spotty)
Lineage: Eukaryota; Metazoa; Chordata; Actinopteri; Labriformes; Labridae
Exons: 2
Source: RefSeq, a predicted model, not a curated record